This 91-nucleotide transfer RNA is filed under the name Thalassiosira oceanica. It matches the Rfam family "tRNA". From Rfam's summary of the family: Transfer RNA (tRNA) molecules are approximately 80 nucleotides in length. Their secondary structure includes four short double-helical elements and three loops (D, anti-codon, and T loops). The record is from Rfam by way of RNAcentral. Lineage: Eukaryota; Bacillariophyta; Thalassiosirophyceae; Thalassiosirales; Thalassiosiraceae.
AGAAAGGUGACUGAGAGGCUUAAAGUGAAGAUUUGCUAAAUCUUUGUAUAACUAUUUUAUUAUACCAUGGGUUCGAAUCCCAUUCUUUCUA